ACUAUUGUGCAUUUUACGAGUGUCUUUUGGCACUUGCGUGACAACUUGUGACUAUAUUACAAGGUUUCAGGUCACAGAUUCGGAUUAUUCUAGUGUGAGCUUGGGGUGAAUGCAAUCUUAAAUCUGUAAGGCUUGCUUUUGUAGGACAACUUGUGUGAUAUGUGGCCAUAAAUAUAACAAUUCAAUUGAAAGAAAGGUUUGGAACCUACCACUUGCUAGGUCUCAUGGGCAGCUUAGGUGCCAAAAUCAUCCAGAUAAAAUGAUGUUAGCCGCUCAAUCUCAGUAUGACUUGGAUGUUGUGAAAUCUUAAGCCUGAAGCCCAAGACGCUUAUGCCUCGAGAGGUAUGUCUCUCUACUACACCCCAAAAAGUCUUAAGCCUUUUCUUAUUUCAUUAACUACUUAUAUAAAAAUAAAAAUAAAAACCCAUUAAACUACUGUCAUAUCUCUUUUUCCAUUUUUUUUUCCCUUCUGAUUUUUGUUUUUGGGUUGGAGGGGUUAGGAGGUAGUAGUUCUUUUUCAUGGAUUAGGUUUGGUUGUUUUCUCAUCUUCCUCUCUUUCUUUUCAAUCAUUUUCUUUUCCUUUCUUUUUGUCUAGCUACUUAUUAAUUUUCCUUUCGUAUUUGUUUUCCUAUAUGUUUUUGAUGAGAGCAAACGGUGAGUUGGAGUUUUCUUUGAUCAUCGCCACACUCUGGACAACCAAUCAAUCGCUCCGAUUGUCUUUCUAAAAAUCCCAGCAUUUCGAGGUUAUGAUUAAAAAUUUGAAGCAAGUAGUGAACGUGGUUUUGAAUUCAUUCCAAGAUCCUCAUCCUCGAGUGUGAUGGGCAACUAUUAAUGCAAUUGGACAGUUGUCUUCAGAUUUAGGCCUAGAUUUGCAAGUUCAAUAUCAUCAAUGUUUGCUACCAGCUUUGGAUGAUUUUCAGAAUCCCCGCAUCCAGGUUAGUUCUUUUGGUGCUUUGACAAUUGUAAAUUUUAGAUGGUUACAAUUGAUUUUUUAUCUUGUCCUUGGUCCUGCAAAUAUCAAUGGCAUGAUUAAAUCUGGUAUGUAUUUGGUGAGUCACUUUUAGGUAUUUUGCUUUUACUUUUUACUUAUAUUUUCUACUUUCAAGGAUUUAUAUUGACAAGUUUGGUAGUCCCUGAUA
Molecule: long non-coding RNA, 1139 nt
Organism: Camellia sinensis
Lineage: Eukaryota; Viridiplantae; Streptophyta; Magnoliopsida; Ericales; Theaceae
Source: RefSeq, a predicted model, not a curated record